This is a long non-coding RNA of Monodelphis domestica (gray short-tailed opossum), 296 nucleotides long. RefSeq lists it as uncharacterized. NCBI's taxonomy places the organism in Eukaryota, Metazoa, Chordata, Mammalia, Didelphimorphia, Didelphidae. The record is from RefSeq and is a predicted model, not a curated record.
CGACAUGGCGGCGGGAAGCCGGGCUGAGCUCGGAGCCCGGGAGAGGCCCUGGCCCUGGAGUCCACCGGAGUCCAAGAGACCUCUUUGAGCUGACAGCUCCUGCAAGGGGCUGAGCUUAGGAUCCGCGGGAGGCCAAGGGAAGGAAAACACCACCCAAAUAAGGGAAGGACCCAGAGUUACAAGGUUAAUGAGCCUUAAUGACAAAGAGUCCUGGCGUCCUAGUUCCCAGGCCUGGCCAUUUGGAAUCAUGAAAAAGUGAUCUUGCCUUAAGUUCUCCCAAGAUAUCAGCUUUGCAG